RNAcentral lists this non-coding RNA (27 nucleotides) under Mus musculus (house mouse). The record is from RNAcentral. Lineage: Eukaryota; Metazoa; Chordata; Mammalia; Rodentia; Muridae.
UGUUAGGUCUAAUUGCUUAUUAUGGUA